RNAcentral lists this ribosomal RNA (524 nucleotides) under uncultured bacterium. RNAcentral describes it as "partial 16S ribosomal RNA". It matches the Rfam family "Bacterial small subunit ribosomal RNA", at positions 28 to 523 of the family's 1533-position model. The record is from RNAcentral.
GACGAACGCUGGCGGCGUGCUUAACACAUGCAAGUCGAACGGACAGACAGAGAGCUUGCUCUCUUGAAGUUAGUGGCGAACGGGUGAGUAACGCGUAAUCAACCUGCCCUUCAGAGGGGGAUAACAACGGGAAACCGUUGCUAAUACCGCGUACGAUUCAUGAACGGCAUCGUUUAUGAAUGAAAGGUGGCCUCUAUGUAUAAGCUAUCGCUGAAGGAGGGGAUUGCGUCUGAUUAGCUAGUUGGAGGGGUAACGGCCCACUAAGGCAAUGAUCAGUAGCCGGUCUGAGAGGAUGAACGGCCACAUUGGGACUGAGACACGGCCCAAACUCCUACGGGAGGCAGCAGUGGGGAAUCUUCCGCAAUGGACGAAAGUCUGACGGAGCAAUGCCGCGUGAGUGAUGAAGGUCUUCGGAUUGUAAAGCUCUGUUAAUCGGGACGAAAGAGUUCUGCGUGAAUAAUGCAGAAAAGUGACGGUACCGGAAUAGGAAGCCACGGCUAACUACGUGCCAGCCGCCGCCGUAA